AGAUUGAACGCUGGCGGCAUGCCUAACACAUGCAAGUCGAACGGGAGUAGCAAUACUCUAGUGGCGGACGGGUGAGGAAUACGUAGGAAUUUGCCCUUAAGUGGGGGAUAACCCGGGGAAACCCGGAUUAAUACCGCAUGACCUCGAAAGAGCAAAGUGGGGGAUCGCAAGACCUCACGCUUUUGGAGAAGCCUACGUCGGAUUAGCUAGUUGGUGAGGUAAUGGCUCACCAAGGCGACGAUCCGUAACUGGUCUGAGAGGAUGAUCAGUCACACCGGAACUGAGACACGGUCCGGACUCCGUACGGGAGCAGCAGGUGGGGAAUACGUGGACAAGUGGGCGACAAGGCCUAGAU
Molecule: ribosomal RNA, 355 nt
Filed under: uncultured soil bacterium
Lineage: Bacteria
Description: bacterial SSU rRNA
Rfam family: Bacterial small subunit ribosomal RNA
Source: RNAcentral